GUGAGCCGUGUGAUGGGAAACCUUCCCGCACGGUUCCCCUAU
Brassica napus (rape) is the source of this 42-nucleotide non-coding RNA. The record is from Rfam. NCBI's taxonomy places the organism in Eukaryota, Viridiplantae, Streptophyta, Magnoliopsida, Brassicales, Brassicaceae.